GAAAGUUGUUUGGACUUUUGUUGGGUUUAGGUAUGGAUCCCAAGGAUAGAUAUGUCUUAGUGCUUGACUUGUGCAACGUUUGAACCCUUGGAUGUGGACAGUUGGCUCAACAAACUGCAGAUAUCAUGUAUGAGUGCAUAUAUACAUUGAGAAAGGUAAUAUUAGGAUAUGGGAAUUGGGAAGCAAUUUACCCAAUACUUUCAGCACUAGCUCUGGCUAAUCAUAAAUGCAUUAAGAAAAGUUCCGCUACCAUCAGAUUAAAAGCCCAUUACAAUUCUAAAACUUUGAAAUGGAGAGGCCCAUCGCGUGAUCAAACCAGAACUCCGUUAAGACCAAAUUAAAGCCCAACUUCAAAAGAAACAUUCUGAGUCCUAAUUAAUCCUGGGCCCAAAGGUCAAUGAGAUGGGAGAGAAGGGCGAAUCGGAUGUUGGUGAGGGAGUGAUGCAUAAACUAGUAGGAGAGCAAGAU
RNAcentral lists this unclassified non-coding RNA (468 nucleotides) under Hevea brasiliensis (rubber tree). Lineage: Eukaryota; Viridiplantae; Streptophyta; Magnoliopsida; Malpighiales; Euphorbiaceae. The record is from RNAcentral.